GCUGAUUUGAUUCUUAAAGGCUGUCCAGCCAUUAUAGCUGACAACAUAGAAACUGAAUGUUAAUCUCAUACAGUCAAAUUAAACUCUAUAGCAGGGGUUGGCAACUUUUCUGAUGAGUGCAAUCUAAAAUUUCUUCAGAAGUCAAUGUGCCACAUCAACCAACUUUUUUCAACUAGCCAACCUUUCUCCUACAUCAAACGCUGCCCGUGGCUGUGGAAUGGUGGCAGUCGUAAGAAGGGAAACCUGUUGGAGUUCUAAAUGUUACAUCUUAAAAGUUGUCUCUGCUUUCACGUUUUUCAGCUCAAUCUCCCUGGCUCUGGCCAGCUCUGCCCCUAAACGCCUAAGUUCCAACUCCUCCUUCAGAUGAAACUCCCUUUCGCAUUUUUCUCUCUCCAGCUGGAGAUGAGCCAGAUGAACUCGUAGCCUAGCAUCCUGCUUUGAACCCAAAAAGAACUGUAUCGAGAGUGGCUCAAAAUGAGGCAGUGUCGUCGGCAGUGCCCUCAGGCAGUUCCUGAGCAACAGGCGUAGACACAGAUGGUGCUAUAGCUUGAUCUGGCAACAGGGGAACAUGCUGAGAUGCUACACCAUGCUCAGCCAACUCAACUGUUGAGACCCCAAUCUCGUUAAACAAUGCCAUCUCAUAUAUACACACGUAUACACACGUAUACACACACACACACACUUAUUUAUUUGCUAUCCAGCACUCAUUACUUCAGCUUAAACUUUUUGAUCACAAAUUUGUGAUCAUACUUGUGGAUCACAAUGACACAUAAUGAUUAGGCAUAUGAUUUACUAAUGUCUGGUUUUAGAGCUGUGAGCUAUGAGCUGUGAGCAAUGCAAAGUUUUUUCCUAACUUAAAAGUUUGAAAUAUGUAAGAUGUGUGGGUUCUUUGAAAAAAAUAGAAAUGACCUAAAUGCCUUAAGUAAAAUGUAGUGUUCUCAGGUGGUAACUGGUGUCUCACUACUGGCAACGGCUCUGCUCAUCACACUAUCCACCCAGGAAGAAGGAAGACAACAAUACACGAGCCGAGAAAAGAGAUGGACUAUGCCUGGUACAGAUACGCGUUUAACAGAACUGCAGAGAAAGACUGUUAUGUUUGCUCGCACAUGCCGAGCGUAUUAGCACAACCAUAUAUGGGAAACACCCUGAGAAUGACUUUUGUAAAGUGCACAACAACAUCAACAUCCUCAUCCAGGAAGAAGCGCUCAACUUUAACAAGUUUUAAAGAGACUGUUGAUUGUCGUUGGACUUUUCCUGAUUUUAUUUUUCUUUAUUUGAGUUAUUCCUUGUUUAAAGCCGUAAUUUCACAGAUGAUAAGUUUGUCACUCACAGCAUACGCAGAUGUACCAAAACCGAUGAAGAUCAUGAAGACUUCUUUUCCUAUUUGUUAGAUGAAGAUGAAGUGUAACUAAUGAUGUAGUAACUGAGAAUGUGAAAGACAAGUAGUUACUCACUGAUGAAUUGUACAUUUCAUUUCGUGAUCAACAGGAGGGAAUGUCAAAAGAGAAUAUUGUAUAAUGUGAUCAGCUAUAUGAAAUGUAUCUUUUUAUUUUAUCAUUAAGCACAUGUCUAUGUGACUUUUCACCUAGUAACUUUUGACAUGAACUCUUCUGUGAUAAACAACUUGCAGCUUCCUCUUUCUGGUUUGGAAGAUACAGACUUAGAAAAGGGGAACCUCAGCUCUGAGUUCUGAGAAUAACUCUGUUAUCUUUAUACACACACACACACACACACACACACACACACACACACACACACACACACACACACACACACACACACACACACACACACACACACACACACACACACACACACACACACACACACACACACACACACACACACACACACACACACACACACACACACACACACACACACACACACACACAAAAAAAAUAUAUUUUUUGGCAUUUUGCCUUUAUUGGGUAGCGAUAGUGAAGACAGACAGGAAAGCGGAUAGAAGACAUGGAAGGAAGACAUGCAGCAAAGGGCCACAGGUCGGACUGACUGUAACUGCUCAAAAGGUUAUGCAGAAUGUUACACAGAAGAAACCUCUGCUCCCCAUAUCACCCACAAACAAAUGGCUCAGUAGAGAGAAUGAAUGGCACCAUCCAGAGAGCCCUCUGUAAGGUUGUUGGUGACCAUCCAGAAACAUGGGAUGACUAUCUGGAUGUUGUGAUGUUUGGUCUCAGAACAAAAAAGCAAAUGACCACUGAAAUACUCACCCCAUUACCUGAUUUUUGGCAGAGAGGCUCGUUAUCCAUAUGAAAUCCCAGAACAUUACAUGGUCUUUCUGUCUGUGACAGACUACAGGAAAAUCCUACGCAAAGCACCUUAGUAAGUUUUUGAUGCACAGGCAGAACAGUUUGAAUGCAUGCUACAUCACCACCUUAAAAGCAACAAUAGUAUCAGAUCCAGGGGUCAGAAGCUACAGCAAAGGAAGAAAACGCCACCAGAACCAGCACGCGCUGCAGGUCCACAAGCCAAAUCACAAACAGCAGCAGACCCAGCCUCACAGACCACAGCAGCAGACCUCGAUCCAAAAGCUACAACUCCACCAGCAACUACUCCCCAGGUUGUAGCACCACCAGCAUCAACUACUCCUAAGUAAUCUACAGCACAAACUGUAGAAGCAACAGUACUACCAGUGACAGCAGCAACAGCCUUACAAGCUACCCCCUGCACCACCUCCAGCAUCAUCACCUCAAAGAUAUACUCAAGCUGUUGCAGAGAAAUGUAAAAAAAGAAAAAGAAAAUAACAAUUUUGUGAUUUGCUUAAAAAGCCCUUUAUUCCUAUGAUACUCUGUUACAUUACUCUUUAGAUCAUGGCACAGGAUAUUUUACACAAUUUCCCUGUUGGUUUAGGUAUAUUAUUCAAAAGACUUAAAAUUCAAUACUCUGUUAAUGCAUUUUCAAAAAAUAUACCUUCAUCAAGCAAGGCUGUAACUCACAUGUGUCACGUGACAUAAAUAAUUGAUUCUUUCAACAACAACAACAAAAACAACAACAAAAAAAAAGAGUCAUAUUUCUUUGUUAUUGUGUAAACCAGAAUGUUCAGAAUUGACAUUGUACUUAUAAUGUACACUACCAGUUAAAAGUUUGGACACCUUCCCAUUCAAAGUUCUGUUUUCAUGGCUACUUGCAUUGUAGAUUCUCACUGAAGGCAUCAAAACUAUGAACGAACCCAUAUGGAACCCUAACCUGAUCAUAUAGUAAAGAAAAAAGUAUAAAAUAAAAAGAGGUUUUGUGUCUUAGUCUUCAAAAUAGCCACCCUUUGCUUUGCACACCCUUUGCCUUCUCAGUAAGCUUCAUAAAGUAGUCACCUGAAAUGGUUGUCACUGCACAGGUGACACACAAAGCAGAGGUGACUCUUGGCCUUCCUUUCCUGGGAUGGGCCUCAUGUGAGCCAGUUUCAUUGUAGCGCUUGAUGGUUUUUGCAACUACAGUUUGGUUGUCUUUGGGGAUCAGGACCGUCUGGGUAGUGAUGUGUCCUGUGUGUCGAAGCUUCAAAGCGUGUCGGGUAAUCUCGGGGGAGUUUUUGUGAAGUGUGUACAGAGGCUUGCUUUGAUUACGUAUGCAGUGACGUUCGAGGCCUCGCGGGCAGCCCGUACCACAUGACUGAUUCAGGAACUGGCUCGCCAGUUUCCAAAUAAAAUGGGUAACAAAACACAGCUGAUUCCCCCAUCACAUUGUUUUGUGGAAUUGGAUUACGUACAUGUUACAUAGUUACUCGAGCAUUUCUUCUUCGAUGGAACCAGCAAGGAAGAGAAGAUUUCCCCUGUCUGGCAACACUGAUCUCAUCUCUCCUAAUAAGGUAUGCACACAGUAAUAAAUAUCACAAAUGAUAAGUACCAUAAUAUAAAUAAACCACACCACAGAUCCUAUAAUCUGAUUUCUGUCUUUUGGUUUAUUGAAAGGUGAAGUGUUUGUUGUGCUCCAAAGAACUUGGAUACAGCAACAACACCUCAACUAUGCUGAGGCAUUACAGAGCCCUGUGUGAAAACAAGGAGACUAUCCAAGGUGGACCAAGCUCAGGUAAGUUUUUUUUAGGUUGCAAGGAUACAGUCAUUUGAUACAUUUACAUUCCCCAUGUCAUUCAUUUAUAUUUGGGUUGUAAUUACUGCUAUAUGUAAUUUCUUAAUGUUUUGUUUGUUUUAUCAGGGGAGAGGAAUGAUAUGGAUGAGGCAUUGGUCAACAUGGUGAUAGAUUCCCAGCCCUUCACUAUUGUGGAGGACAGUGGGUUUAGAAAGCUUGUUAAAGCUUUGAACCUUAACUGUUCUCCCCACAAGGCAGGUGUGUAUCUUAAAAAUAUGAAGCAUGUUUCCAGUUUGCCUAUAUUUCCAUAUUAAUAGCGGUACUUUCUUUUGUUUAGGCUUUGAAAGCUAUGGUGGACCAAAGAUACAAAGAGUCCAAACAAAAAGAAAAACUGACUGUGGCAAAGGCUUCUGUAGUUAGUUUGACAUCUGAUAUGUGGACCUCCAUUAACACAGAGGGUUUCCUAGCUGUCACCUGCCAUGUCAUUGAUUCUAACACUGCAUUGCAUUCUGUAGUGUUAGGUGUUCAGCACUUCCCUAAAGCACAUACUGCUAUCAAUUUGUCCCAAGUAACAGCAGCGCUCAUGUCAGAGUGGGGAAUUACAGACAAAGUUACAUGUUAUGUGACUGAUGGAGCAGCAAACAUGGGUGCUUGUGCAAAGGAGCUUUGUUUGCAUCACAGUAAUUGUGUGGCGCAUACAUUGAACCUAAUGGUCAAAAAAAGCUCUUGAUCAACACACCGCGCUGUCUGAGAUCCAGACCACCUGUAGGAGGACCGUGGGAUAUUUCAAGAGCAGUGCAACUGCUAAGGUUUGUUCCAUUAUUUCAUUAUUGCUUUAAGGAGCUGCUGCAAUAACACAGCUUGAAUUAAUCAAUUUGUGUUGGCUGUUUUCUUAGGAGAGGCUGACAGAGGUGCAAGAGCAAAUGGGCCGGCCUCCACUGAAGUUAAUUCAAGAGGUGGAUACAUGUUGGAACAGCACAUUCCAAAUGCUUCAAUGUAUUCAUGAGCUCAGGGAACCUAUUGGAGCAUCGUUAGCUGGCCUGCACACUGAUAUUUGCCCACUAUCCUCUGAACAGUAUGACCUUAUGGCAGAAUGUCUCAAAAUGCUCUCCCCAUUUAAUGAUGCCACCACUGAGCUGUCAGAGGAAAAGAGUGUCUGAAUCCAAAGUAAUUCCACUUCUAACCAUGUUGCACCAUGCACUAAAUUAAGAGGAAAUGGGAGUUGUCCUAACUCCAGAGAGGUCCACCAUGGUUGAGUGUCUGAGGAGACAAUUAAAGGAGAAGCUCUACAUGUUGCAGUCAAUGAGCAUCAUGUCACUGGCAACAUUGCUGGAUCCAAGGUUUAAAAAAAAAAAAAAAAAAAAAAAAAAAAAAAAGAGGCUUCUUUAGCCCCAAUAAAGCACUGGAUGCUGAGAGGAGACUCAUUUUUGAGUGUGCUGCUGCUUUGCAGCACUUGGCAGCCUCUCAGCCUGUGACUUAAGGUGUAUGAGCACAUUUUGAUUAUUUUAUUGUAUUUAGUUACUUACAUCCUGUUUGUUUUAAGCUAUGUCCACGCUAGCCCGGAUAGAUUUGAAAAAGGCGUUUGUCUGAAAACGCUCUGCGUCCACACUAGCCUCUUCAGUUGUUUUCAAAGAGUUGCGCGUCCACACUAAAACAGCCAAAAAAAACAAAAAAAACCUGACGUUGCAGUUCGUGAAACGCAAGACGACUCAACCUGCGUCAUUUCCCAUUUUCCGGCUCUUUUGGAUGACAUCACACGUCUGGAUUACCAGCUUCCAAGGCACCAAGAGUGUGCAUGUCAUCUAGGGCUGCCACAAACGAUUAUUUUGAUAGUCGACUAGUCACCGAUUAUUUUUGCGAUUAGUCGACUAAUCGGAUCAUGCAUCCAUUGGACGUAAAACGUACAGCUUAUUGCACCAGCAGCAUCUGCUCUUAUAUAACAUUAGCUUACAGUUUUAAGUGUUUAGGGUAUGUGCUAACUAAAAAUAAAGACAAGAUGAUAGUUUAUUAAAUUUAAUGAGAUUUACAGAUUGUUUCGGUAAAGUUUAAUAAACUCCUUGCUAUCUAAAAUAUAACGGGACACCGGAGUAUAUUCUCGAACAUCU
Oreochromis aureus is the source of this 6146-nucleotide long non-coding RNA. Lineage: Eukaryota; Metazoa; Chordata; Actinopteri; Cichliformes; Cichlidae. The record is from Ensembl.